This is a long non-coding RNA of Oncorhynchus keta (chum salmon), 424 nucleotides long. RefSeq lists it as uncharacterized. Lineage: Eukaryota; Metazoa; Chordata; Actinopteri; Salmoniformes; Salmonidae. The transcript is spliced from 3 exons. The record is from RefSeq and is a predicted model, not a curated record.
CUCCUGUGAUCUCUGAAUAGGAACUGGCACUCAGGUUUCUCUCUUCUGCUCCCUCGCUCUGUACAGUCUCCUGUGAUCACUGAAUAGGAACUGGCACUCAGGUUUCUCUCUUCUGCUCCCUCGCUCUGUACAGUCUCCUGUGAUCACUGAAUAGGAACUGGCACUCAGGUUUCUCUCUUCUGCUCCCUCGCUCUGUACAGUCUCCUGUGAUCACUGAAUAGGAACUGGCACUCAGGUUUCUCUCUUCUGCUCCCUCGCUCUGUACAGUCUCCUGUGAUCACUGAAUAGGAACUGGCACUCAGGUUUCUCUCUUCUGCUCCCUCGCUCUGUACAGUCUCCUGUGAUCACUGAAUAGGAACUGGCACUCAGGUUUCUCUCUUCUGCUCCCUCGCUCUGUACAGUCUCCUGUGCUACGUAUUUCUCU